UACGAAGGUGGCAAGCGUUACUCGGAAUUACUAGGCGUAAAGGGCAGGUAGGUGGUCUGAUAAGUCUGUUGUGGAAGCUCCCGGCUUAACUGGGAGAGGCCAACGGAAACUAUCAGACUUGAGUGUAGGAGAGGGUAUUGGAAUUCCCGGUGUAGCGGUGAAAUGCGCAGAGAUCGGGAGGAACACCAAUGGCGAAAGCAGAUACCUGGACUAUUACUGACACUAAGCUGCGAAAGCUAGGGGAGCAAACAGG
RNAcentral lists this ribosomal RNA (253 nucleotides) under uncultured bacterium. RNAcentral's name for it is "partial 16S ribosomal RNA". It matches the Rfam family "Bacterial small subunit ribosomal RNA", at positions 524 to 776 of the family's 1533-position model. The record is from RNAcentral.